Molecule: long non-coding RNA, 1515 nt
Organism: Alosa sapidissima (American shad)
Lineage: Eukaryota; Metazoa; Chordata; Actinopteri; Clupeiformes; Clupeidae
Exons: 2
Source: RefSeq, a predicted model, not a curated record
UGACCUAGCCUGGGUGCCAUUCCGAACUUAGUCCCGCCCACAACGUUUGAGGUCGGGAAGUUUGGUCUGGCAUUGCUCAAUAGUGGCGCGAGUAUGCCCGCCCAAGAUCUGGCGGGCCAAUCAAAUUGUCAGGGCGGGCUUUAUACGAUGAUGGACAGAUGAUCAACAGUAACGUAAUCAACCACGUCACCAAAGAGCACUUAGGUUGAAUUCGUUUACAACAACGAUGGUUGCUGCUGGAGAAUUGAGAUGUGUAGAUUCUGCUAUCAGGUCUGUUCUAGAAGAUAUCGACAGCGAAUUAAUUUUAAAAGAGGAACAGAGUAACGGGAUCAAGGCAUUUGUUGAUAAGAAAGAUGUUUUUGCCGAAGCAACUGAAAUGGGCGAUGCAACUCAGCGUGCACGACGAGGUGGAUAUAGCCAGCGGUCGUUGCCAGAUCCUUUUUUGAAGCCCGGAAUCCUGGCUGCUGAAAAACAAGUGGAGGGACAUGCUAGGCUCCGAUGUUUUUCAAGCCAACGUAAUGGGUAUCGUCGUGGCCGAAGUUCAUCUAACUUACAAAUGGUACAUCUGUGCUGGCAUUGACCACUUCUGCUGAUCGGGAAUCCAGAGCCAGGGUUAUGAAACAGCUUCAGAUGGACAAUCCAAUCAUUUUGGCUCUGAGCCCAAACAGAACAAACAUCAGACUGGGUCUGAUUCAAGUACCUGGCCAUACACUGGAGUGCCUACACUGGAUUGUGAGGGAUGUUAGUACAAAGCUUGACCCCGCAGUUAAGACGGUACUUUAUAAUGGAGUCACUAGUUGUCUGCGGAAAGCUUUGUACUGCCAUUUAGAGGAACACACCACAUCUGUUGAUCUAGGACAUCUGUGCUGCACUCACUGUCAUUCUGUUUGUUCUUGUGAACCUGAAGGUUGUGGGGAGCUAAUCCCCAAAUAUGAACACUUUCAAGGGGAGGUUUCAUCACACCACAAACACAGAAUAGUCACACCUGAGGGCACACUUUUGAUCAGGGAACUGUUACAAACUUACAGGAGUAGUUUACUUCAGGACCAUACAAACAUACCACUUUACACAGUCGACACAGCCUGUACUGGUUUUGGAGAUUAACUCAUUGAUCGGUUUUAGAACAGUGCACACAGAUAUUUGACCUGGACUUCAUUAUCCAUAAUCACCCUACAUACAAACUCUGGAACAUGCAAUGGAACAAACACUAUGAAUUAUGCAUGAGGUUUUUGAUGACAUCGAACAAAGUCAAACUAAUUUGUUUGAUGACAGUGUUGUUCAGGAUGACCGUGUUCAGGUUGACAUGGAUUACACUGGUUACUUUGAUGACGAGGAUGAGGAUAAGAUACAAUUAUCACCAAGUAACUUGGAAUCAGGCUUGUCAAUGUUGAAGAUCUCAGACUAGCUUCAAAUUCAGGCUCAAAUUUGUAGAUUCAGGGUCCUGUUGUGCAAAUGCCUUUUUUUUUACCUCUGUUACAUUAAUAUUUUUGAAUAAAAUUAAAAUGGUUUAUACUU